This 119-nucleotide ribosomal RNA is filed under the name Crocodylus porosus (Australian saltwater crocodile). The record is from RNAcentral. Lineage: Eukaryota; Metazoa; Chordata; Crocodylia; Crocodylidae.
GCAUACCCCCCCCCCCCCCCGAUUGCACCUGAUCCCGUCUGAUCUUGGAAGCUAAGCAGUCCCGGGCCUGGCUAGUACCUGGAUGGGAGACCGCCUGGGAAUCCCGGGUGCCGUAGGCC